UACGAAGGGGGCUAGCGUUGCUCGGAUUGACUGGGCGUAAAGGGCGCGUAGGCGGUUCGUACAGUCAGACGUGAAAUUCCUGGGCUCAACCUGGGGGCUGCGUUUGAUACGUGCGGACUUGAGUGCGGAAGAGGGUCGUGGAAUUCCCAGUGUAGAGGUGAAAUUCGUAGAUAUUGGGAGGAACACCAGUGGCGAAGGCGGCUCACUGGACUGGUACUGACGCUGAUGCGCGAAAGCGUGGGGAGCAAACAGG
Molecule: ribosomal RNA, 253 nt
Filed under: uncultured bacterium
Lineage: Bacteria
Description: partial 16S ribosomal RNA
Rfam family: Bacterial small subunit ribosomal RNA
Source: RNAcentral